GAUGAACGCUGGCGGCGUGCCUAAUACAUGCAAGUCUAUCGAACAUACGAGGAUCUUGCUCCUUUGACGUUAGCGGCGGACGGGUGAGUAAAACGUAGGUAACCUACCUAUAAGACUGGGAUAACUUCGGGAAACCGGAGCUAUUACCGGAUAAUAUUUCGAACCGCAUGUUUCGAUAGUGAAAGAUGGCUUUGCUAUCACUUAUAUAUGGACCUGCGCCGUAUUAGCUAGUUGGUAAGGUAACGGCUUACCAAGGCAACGAUACGUAGCCGACCUGAGAAGGUGAUCGGCCACACUGGAACUGAGAAACGGUCCAGACUCCUACGGGAGGCAGCAGUAGGGAAUCUUCCGCAAUGGGCGAAAGACUGACGGAGAAACGCCGCGUGAGUGAUGAAGGUAUUCGGAUCGUAAAACUCUGUUAUUAGGGAAGAACAAACGUGUAAGUAACUGUGCACGACUUGACGGUACCUAAUCAGAAAGCCACGGCUAACUACGUG
RNAcentral lists this ribosomal RNA (497 nucleotides) under uncultured bacterium. RNAcentral's name for it is "partial 16S ribosomal RNA". It matches the Rfam family "Bacterial small subunit ribosomal RNA", at positions 28 to 507 of the family's 1533-position model. The record is from RNAcentral.